CAAAGAUUAGCACAUAGUUGUUACGAAGCCGCCUUCCAAUUCCAAACCACAAUCAGACGAGCUGUAAGCUGCAGGUGAAGACUAAUACUCUUGAAGUGUAGGAAGCCGUCUUAUCUUGAAGAAUUUUACUAUCUAUCUUUUGUUAACGUUAUUUUGAACAUAUUUUAUUUUUGGGGAUUCCCGCUCUGAUAGUGACAUCGGGUUGGGACCAUAUUUACAUUUAUCAUUAAACUUAUGUAUGUGUACUUCAAAAAGAAUUUUGUUGUCUGAUAUUAUGAUUUCGAUGUCAUUAAGUUUGAUGGAAAUUUUGGAUUAUUGUGAUAUGUUCACAAUUACGUGAUACUCUUUACCUUAAUAAAAAAAAAUUGAAAGUUUAUAUUUA
Molecule: non-coding RNA, 382 nt
Organism: Cicer arietinum (chickpea)
Lineage: Eukaryota; Viridiplantae; Streptophyta; Magnoliopsida; Fabales; Fabaceae
Source: RefSeq, a predicted model, not a curated record